CGCUUUCUUUUGCUGGCGACCGGCGCACGGGUGAGUAACACGUAUCCAACCUGCCCUUUACUCGGGGAUAGCCUUUCGAAAGAAAGAUUAAUACCCGAUAGCAUAAUGAUUCCGCAUGGUUUCAUUAUUAAAGGAUUCCGGUAAAGGAUGGGGAUGCGUUCCAUUAGGUUGUUGGUGGGGUAACGGCCCACCAAGCCUUCGAUGGAUAGGGGUUCUGAGAGGAAGGUCCCCCACAUUGGAACUGAGACACGGUCCAA
This 257-nucleotide ribosomal RNA is filed under the name uncultured bacterium. Its description in RNAcentral is "partial 16S ribosomal RNA". It matches the Rfam family "Bacterial small subunit ribosomal RNA", at positions 69 to 334 of the family's 1533-position model. The record is from RNAcentral.